CCAUCUCUUGCUGUAUCACCACAGCUUCAUGCUCCGUCUCUUCCUGUAACACCACAGCUAGAUGAGGAAGGAGGUGAAGGGGGUUGGAAGAGGGAGCUACUCUUCUCCAACGUGAGCUCAAUUGUCACAGUCGUCUUCUUUUUCUUCUUCUUCUCCACCUCCUUUUCUCCCACUACCUCUUCCUGCUGUGCUUCCUGUUUCACCACAGCUUCAUGCUCCAUCUCUUGCUGUAAC
Sebastes umbrosus (honeycomb rockfish) is the source of this 234-nucleotide long non-coding RNA. RefSeq lists it as uncharacterized. The transcript has 2 exons. Lineage: Eukaryota; Metazoa; Chordata; Actinopteri; Perciformes; Sebastidae. The record is from RefSeq and is a predicted model, not a curated record.